This 451-nucleotide ribosomal RNA is filed under the name uncultured bacterium. Its description in RNAcentral is "partial 16S ribosomal RNA". It matches the Rfam family "Bacterial small subunit ribosomal RNA", at positions 28 to 507 of the family's 1533-position model. The record is from RNAcentral.
GAUGAACGCUGGCGGCGUGCCUAACACAUGCAAGUCGAGCGGCAGCGAGGGGUGCUUGCACCCUGUCGGCGAGCGGCGGACGGCUGAGUAACGCGUGGGAACGUGCCCCAAAGUGAGGAAUAACUGCCCGAAAGGGUAGCUAAUACCGCAUAUUAUCUUCGGAUCAAAGGAUUUAUCCGCUUUGGGAGCGGCUCGCGUCGGAUUAGGUAGUUGGUGAGGUAAUGGCUCACCAAGCCGACGAUCCGUAGCUGGUCUGAGAGGAUGACCAGCCAGACUGGAACUGAGACACGGUCCAGACUCUUACGGGAGGAAGCAGUGAGGAAUCUUCCACAAUGGGCGAAAGCCUGAUGGAGCAACGCCGCGUGAAGGACGAAGGCCUUCGGGUUGUAAACUGCUUUUAUAAGUGAGGAAUAUGACGGUAACUUAUGAAUAAGGAUCGGCUAACUACGUG